GUGUGUAGUUGGUGUUAUCUCAGAAGCGAAAGAAAAAGGCACAGUAAAACGCCACAAGGCAAGAUACGUUUCCCUAGCCUUUGAGAAGCUCCUUCUCCAUUUAUGAAUCUCUCCUCCACAUGUAAUUCGGGAUUGCCAGCUGAUUGCACUCAGACUCAGCCCCCCCUUACAGCAAUACAAGGAGGAAGGCAACAGCUACUUGUUAAUUAGCUGGCUCCUGUUCACAGCACACAAGCCAGAGUGCCUUGGCCAGCUUUGGGUUUAGAUCCUGAAGCUCUUUUUAAGAGUUACUGUGAGGACGCUAUUCCUUCCGUAGGCUGCUUGAAUAAUCCCAUCACCUGCCACACUCGUGAGACUUAAUGAGUUGUCGGCACCUCUGAAUCUUUUCCUUCUUGAGAGAGUUGGCUGCACCCCUUUAAAGUGAAAGCCCCGAGCAAAGGAUCCUUCUGGGAUCACUGCCUCGAGAGGAACACAGCCCUCAAAGGGGCUGUGAACGUGUUUGCCCUUGCUUUAAUGUGGCUGCUUACUCCUCUCUAAACAUCACAAAGAUCGCCGAUGAACGUCUGCUGCUUGGCAUGCUGAAAAGCCAGUGGAAAUACUUGUUUUUCACUGUGGAGCAGGGGAGCAAUGCAAUAGAUGAUGCAACUGCAAAUGCUCCUGUACUGAAGCGCAGAGGACCGCUCCAGAGCUGCCGCAAACUCAGAUGCUUUACUGGGGUCCCUUGAAUACUGUGCAGCACACCCAGGUUCCCUGGAUGGUGGCAAUCAGGAGCAGCUGGUCACAAGGAGCAGCCUUCAGCAAGGUCUCCUCCAGCCAGUUGAGUAAAGCUAGAACUGCCCACCCAGCCACUCCAGGAUUUGGCCAAGUGUUUUGAGGCUCAUGAGUUGGUUAAAAGCAAGCCUUCACGCGCUGAGGGUAUACCUACAAGCAGCUUCUUGCCAUCUGGUGGUCCAAGCACUGUCCAGUUCUCAUCCAUCUGGACAUUGACUGUCCAUCAAGCUCUCAUGUGUCGCAAAUGCAAAGUGCUGCAUGCACACAGUUCAAAUAAAAGUCAGAAACUGACAAAAAUGUUUAAUAUU
Molecule: long non-coding RNA, 1079 nt
Filed under: Apteryx haastii (Great spotted kiwi)
Lineage: Eukaryota; Metazoa; Chordata; Aves; Apterygiformes; Apterygidae
Description: lncRNA (ENSAHAG00000002845.1)
Source: RNAcentral